Frieseomelitta varia is the source of this 1001-nucleotide long non-coding RNA. RefSeq lists it as uncharacterized. The record is from RefSeq and is a predicted model, not a curated record. NCBI's taxonomy places the organism in Eukaryota, Metazoa, Arthropoda, Insecta, Hymenoptera, Apidae. The transcript is spliced from 3 exons.
AUCGAUAUGUCAUUUUACGUAUGUUGGGUUAUCCGAAUGUGAUUUCCAAUUGCCACCAGGAUCGGACACGAUUCGACAUACCCGGCCGAAACGCUUCUCGAUCACGAUCGAGAUCGAACGCUCCACGCGCGGCAAUGCCGGGGCCAGCACGCAAACGCAAGAGGUGCACUGUAUUUUAAAUUCGAGCGUUAACCUUCCCUCUCUUGGGCCGCCGUGCUCCUUCACGCGCGAGAGAUCUGAGCUCGACUGUGGCGACUUACACCGUUGCCGUUAACACUCCCCGUCGCCGAGCUCCUCACCAACCGCGAGAUGCCGAGAGAUGCCGCGUUCGUUAUCGUGCAUCCGACCGACCAGUACUGCGAGAAAGUCUGUUCACCAUUAAAUCUUCCGUUCCACCGCUUGAAUCACACCACAGUUCACGCCAGGUAUUUCUCAAUGGACUGGUACGCGACGAACGUUCGUUGCGCUCGAGAAAGGAACGUUUCGCCGUUAAAAGACCUCUGAUCUGCAAGAUGUAUUUGUUAACAAGCAAAACGUACACGUUUAUCGUAGAAUGGAGACUCGUCGCGGCAGAAUAGUCACCUGGCGUCACGUUGGGCGCGGUUUGACUGGUUCUCGGAGUCGUUUAUGUUCCCAGUCGUGUUUCCAGUGGUCGCGCCUUGCCUCGCGUCGUUCCCCAAGCCCACUACCGUGUCUACCGUAAACCGCUAUAGUAUUAUUACUACUACCACCUACGAACGCUGAAAGGUAAAGCUUGUCACGUGACACGGUGCGGCACAAUACGUCACGCAGGUUGUGAAACAGGAAUUUGAAAUUGCGCGGAGUUACCUGUUGAAAAAGAAAAAAAGAAAGAAAGUAUCGUAUAACAUUCUUGAUAUUCUGUUAAUUCAGGUAUAUAAGUGUAUGUUAAUUUUAAAAAUAUUGUUAAUAUCUAUGCAUUAGUAGCCAGUUGUUUAAAUAAUCGUUUUGCAUAAAUUUUGUAAUGAAGUUGCUCAUUUGAG